RNAcentral lists this ribosomal RNA (425 nucleotides) under uncultured bacterium. RNAcentral's name for it is "partial 16S ribosomal RNA". It matches the Rfam family "Bacterial small subunit ribosomal RNA", at positions 354 to 796 of the family's 1533-position model. The record is from RNAcentral.
GUGGGGAAUAUUGGACAAUGGGCGCAAGCCUGAUCCAGCCAUGCCGCGUGAGUGAUGAAGGCCCUAGGGUUGUAAAGCUCUUUCACCGAUGAAGAUAAUGACGGUAGUCGGAGAAGAAGCCCCGGCUAACUUCGUGCCAGCAGCCGCGGUAAUACGAAGGGGGCUAGCGUUGCUCGGAAUCACUGGGCGUAAAGGGCGCGUAGGCGGACUUUUAAGUCGGAGGUGAAAGCCCAGGGCUCAACCCUGGAAUAGCCUUCGAUACUGGGAGUCUUGAGUUCGGAAGAGGUUGGUGGAACUGCGAGUGUAGAGGUGAAAUUCGUAGAUAUUCGCAAGAACACCGGUGGCGAAGGCGGCCAACUGGUCCGAAACUGACGCUGAGGCGCGAAAGCGUGGGGAGCAAACAGGAUUAGAUACCCUUGUAGUCC